GCUACCCGGGCCAGCGGGGAUGAAGUUUCUAUCAAAGCAGAAGAAAUAGAGGUGAACUACAAAAAGUGAGAACCAGUUUCCUCUGUACUCUGCAAUCUAGGAGAAAAAACUCAUCCAAGGACAGAUCAGGUAAGUAAUUGUUAAUUCAUUCUUUCUAAUGUUUUGAGGCCAUAUGUGGAGACAUGAUUUAUCAAUUAUAACCAUAGAUCAUUGAUUUAAUUCAACUAAGAGACAAUAAGGGUAGAAUCCACAAUAUGGAAAGUUCUUUAACUUUUAUACGGAAGCUUGGGUCUCAGUUGUAAUGUUUGAGAGGGCUGGGUGUAUAGAACUGUGUUCAGUUAUGUGUUAAUGAUUCAUAAAACAUUAAAAACAACAAAAUUGUAAGCUAAGUCUGGUGUAUGUAAUUUAAAAAUAAUAUGAAUAAAGAAGGUUAAGAGAGUUUUGGAGAACAAGAGUCUUAAAAUUGUUCAAGUGGUUGAGUUUAGGGAAGUGAAGGCUAAGGGACGGUACUGCUUUCCAAGUAGAAGAGAUGCUGACUUACUGAGGAUGGUACCUGUCCUAUUCCCACAUCUUUAGAGGAAAAGCAGCAGGAAAAAUUUAGCUUAGAAAAGUCAAAGCUUUUGAAAUUAAGGAUGCUUUUAAGAUUAGAAAGAUUUACCUUGGAAAGUUGUGGAAUCCUCUUGCUGGAAGGUUUUCUAAGUAGCCUGGUCAUCUGCCAAGAAUAGCUUAUGUUUCCAUCAUAAGGCCUUCUAAUUUUAUGUUGCCAUGGUUUGUUUUGAAAAACAUAUGGUGAUUUAUAUCUAAGGCAGUAUCUAACAUGAUAUAUUUAUAAUGCUAGACUAUGUAAACUAAUAGAAUUUGACUUUAGGAGUAUUAUGGAAAAUUAUUUGAGAAGCACAGAAGUAGUCAUGUGUUUUCUUCAGUUUGUUCCAUUGUUGACCAUGUGAUCAUCAUUAACAUGUAUACUUUUUCUGGUCCAUAUAAUACUGUCCAAAUACAUAUGUUAAUAUCAACAACAAUUGAAUUGUAGACUCUUAAUGAAUCACCUCUAUCGAGACUAGAGAGAAGGAUGGGAGGAUAAAAUAAAGAUAAAUGUGUUGGGAGUUCCCAUUGUGGCUCAGCAGGUUGCAAAUCCAACUAGUAUUCAUGAGGAUGUGGGUUUGAUCCCUGGACUUGCUCAGUAGGUUAAGGAUCCUGCAUUGCUGUGGCAGCUGCAGCAUCAAUUUGGAUUUGACCCCUAGCCUGGGAACUUCGAUGUGCCAUAGGUGCAGCCCUAAAAAUUAGCAAAAAAAUAAAAAAUAAAAAAA
Molecule: long non-coding RNA, 1307 nt
Filed under: Sus scrofa (pig)
Lineage: Eukaryota; Metazoa; Chordata; Mammalia; Artiodactyla; Suidae
Description: lncRNA (ENSSSCG00005036014.1)
Source: RNAcentral